RNAcentral lists this ribosomal RNA (443 nucleotides) under Vertigo catalinaria. Its description in RNAcentral is "partial 16S ribosomal RNA". The record is from RNAcentral. Lineage: Eukaryota; Metazoa; Mollusca; Gastropoda; Stylommatophora; Vertiginidae.
UAGCUUUAAGAUUUAUUUAAAGUUCUACCUGCCCGGUGAAACUUUUAACGGCCGCAGUACUUUGACUGUGCUAAGGUAGCAUAAUAAAUUGGCUUUUAAUUAAAGUCGGGUAUGAAAGGAAUCUCGGAAAGCAACUGUCUUAAAUUUAUAUUAUUUUAAAUUAUUUAAUGAGUGAAAAUCCUCAUAAACUUUUACAUUAGACGAGAAGACCCUUAGAGUUAUAAUUAAAAUGAAUUUUUUUUCAUAUUUCAUUUUUGUUGGGGCAACAAAGACUGGAUAUAACCGUCAUAAGAUUAUUUUACAUAACCAAUAUGUUUAGAAAGAAAUAAACUACCUUAGGGAUAACAGCAUAAUUAAUUUUUAGAUUGUGACCUCGAUGUUGGAUUAAGGACUUUAUUUACUAGCCGUAGAUAAAGAUAGUUCUGUUCGAACUGUGUUACCUU